CACAGCCUGAAAGUCUGUUCGGGAGUUUCAGUAGCAGCUUCUCACAGGGACAGCAAUAAACAUUUUCAUCUGAACUUCUGGCUUAGUAUCAGGACUUUUGGAAAACGAAAGGCAAAGAGAAAAAUAGAGGUGCAGAAAGGAGGACUCCAUGCAUAAAGGCAUCCAUUAAGAAGUUCAUGAUGUUCCUUCCUCCUCAUGUCUCCUCCUCUGAAUCAUACAGUGGCUUCUCUGCAACCCAGCCAGUUUCCCUUUCUCUUGGCUGAUCCUACAAGUAAACAAAACGCACCUGCCAAGAAAAUUCCACUGCCUGGAGCCUGCCUUCAGCAUGGACUCAUGGCCUCAACCAUUAAGUGACUUUUGCUUAAAUGGAAGAUGUUUAAGUUAAUGAUCUCCCAUUGUUAACCAUGUGUCACCCCUCUGUGCAAUUUCAGUUCAAAAUGGUCGUAAGAAUAUGGCCAGGAGGGAUAAAUGCCUACUUUCAAAACAGAGUUUCCAGCCUGCCAAAGAAAGUUCUACAAUAUCCAGCAGAAUUAAUAAGAAGUUCAUGCUAUUUCUAAAUUUGUAGCUGUGCCAGUAGACUCUGGUUCACAUCUGAUUUCAGAGGAGGUUUUCUGAAUGGACUAAAAGCCACAUAAUUAAGUUAAUAGCUAAUAAUCUAUAUAUGUAGUUAAAAAGACGUUUUUAACAAAUACCUAGAUAAAGCUGAUAAAGCAUCUUGAAGAAAGUUAAUUAGGUCACUGUCUUCAAAUCUAAUUUUUUAGUAUACUUGUGUACUGUGGCUGGAAAGAGUCUUGGAAACCCCUUCAUAUCUUCAACAGUUAAAUAAAUAUUAGGGCUUGCAAGCCUAUCUGAGACUG
Molecule: long non-coding RNA, 857 nt
Filed under: Apteryx owenii (little spotted kiwi)
Lineage: Eukaryota; Metazoa; Chordata; Aves; Apterygiformes; Apterygidae
Description: lncRNA (ENSAOWG00000002868.1)
Source: RNAcentral